UGCCCAGAUAGCUCAGUCGGUAGAGCAGAGGACUGAAAAUCCUCGUGUCGCUGGUUCGAUUCCGGCUCUGGGCAUC
RNAcentral lists this transfer RNA (76 nucleotides) under Anaerostipes hadrus. Its description in RNAcentral is "tRNA-Phe(gaa)". It matches the Rfam family "tRNA". Rfam says of the family: Transfer RNA (tRNA) molecules are approximately 80 nucleotides in length. Their secondary structure includes four short double-helical elements and three loops (D, anti-codon, and T loops). Lineage: Bacteria; Bacillati; Bacillota; Clostridia; Lachnospirales; Lachnospiraceae. RNAcentral also lists the same sequence under 3 other names. The record is from RNAcentral.